GGAGAGGUGACCGAGUGGCCGAAGGUGGCGGUCUUGAAAACCGCUGUACCGCAAGGUACCGGGGGUUCGAAUCCCUCCCUCUCCG
This 85-nucleotide transfer RNA is filed under the name Planctomycetota bacterium. Its description in RNAcentral is "tRNA-Ser". It matches the Rfam family "tRNA". Rfam says of the family: Transfer RNA (tRNA) molecules are approximately 80 nucleotides in length. Their secondary structure includes four short double-helical elements and three loops (D, anti-codon, and T loops). The record is from RNAcentral. Lineage: Bacteria; Pseudomonadati; Planctomycetota. RNAcentral also lists the same sequence under 1 other name.